UACGUAGGGGGCAAGCGUUAUCCGGAAUUAUUGGGCGUAAAGAGUACGUAGGUGGCAACCUAAGCGCAGGGUUUAAGGCAAUGGCUCAACCAUUGUUCGCCCUGCGAACUGGGAUGCUUGAGUGCAGGAGAGGAAAGCGGAAUUCCUAGUGUAGCGGUGAAAUGCGUAGAUAUUAGGGGGAACACCAGUGGCGAAGGCGGCUUACUGGACUGUAACUGACGUUGAGGCUCGAAAGCGUGGGGAGCAAACAGG
This 252-nucleotide ribosomal RNA is filed under the name uncultured bacterium. RNAcentral's name for it is "partial 16S ribosomal RNA". It matches the Rfam family "Bacterial small subunit ribosomal RNA", at positions 524 to 776 of the family's 1533-position model. The record is from RNAcentral.